CCUACGGGAGGCAGCAGUGGGGGAUAUUGCACAAUGGGGGAAACCCUGAUGCAGCGACGCCGCGUGUGGGAAGACGGUCCUCUGGAUUGUAAACCACUGUCCUCAGGGACGAACAGAUGACGGUACCUGAAGAACAAGCCCCGGCUAACUACGUGCCAGCAGCCGCGGUAAAACGUAGGGGGCGAGCGUUGUCCGGAAUGACUGGGCGUAAAGGGUGCGUAGGCGGCAUAAUAAGUUAGAAGUGAAAUACCCAGAGCUUAACUCGGGUGCUGCUUCUAAGACUGUUGAGCUUGAGUGCGGGAGAGGUUAAUGGAAUUCCUAGUGUAGCGGUGGAAUGCGUAGAUAUUAGGAGGAACACCAGAGGCGAAGGCGAUUAACUGGACCGUAACUGACGCUGAGGCACGAAAGUGUGGGUAGCAAACAGGAUUAGAUACCCUGGUAGUC
RNAcentral lists this ribosomal RNA (444 nucleotides) under uncultured bacterium. RNAcentral's name for it is "partial 16S ribosomal RNA". It matches the Rfam family "Bacterial small subunit ribosomal RNA", at positions 338 to 795 of the family's 1533-position model. The record is from RNAcentral.